Molecule: ribosomal RNA, 2655 nt
Filed under: Triticum aestivum (bread wheat)
Lineage: Eukaryota; Viridiplantae; Streptophyta; Magnoliopsida; Poales; Poaceae
Description: partial small subunit ribosomal RNA
Source: RNAcentral
CCCCACUUCCACCUUCUUCUAGGAGUACCUCUCUCUCUCCACGGAGUACAUCCAGCCAGCCAGCCUCGCUCUCUCUCUCCUUCCUCCCUCGAGCGCCGACAGAUCCCAGCCGGCCUGCCCGGGAUGGCGUCGACGACGGCGUACGCGCGGCCGUCCAAGCUGCCGGGUGCGGGCCCGGGGGAGCGGAGGCCGGCGCCGCCGCGGCUCAUCAGGGCCUUCCUCGCCUCCGGCGCCAAGAUCGAGCCCCGGAAGCUCGCCGCCGGCCUGCUCGCCGGCUGCUGCCUCGCGCUCCUCACCUACGUCUCCCUCGCCAAGCUCUACGCCGUCUACUCCCCCGUCUUCGCCACCACCUCGGCCCUGCUCCAGAACGCCCCGCCGUCGUCCUCCUCGGCGCCGGGGGCGGUGGCCGCCCCGCGUCCGCCCGAAGAACCCGCAUUUACUGGCGGCAACAACGGCGGCGCCGUGGAUCGCGUCGAUCUGACGGAGAAGGGCCCGGGGACGGCGGGCUCUCGAGAGCCCGGGGUGCCGGAGGCGGUCUCAAGGAAGGAACACGCCGAGAAGGCGCCGGCGCCGGCCAACACCUCGGCGCCAAUGCCAUCUCAGGGAGAAAGGAAGAGCAACAGCAGCAGCAAUGUCGCCGCCGGUCCGAUGAGCUGCGACGAAAAUGGCGUGGACGAGGGGUUCCCCUACGCGCGGCCGGCGGUCUGCGAGCUGUCCGGCGACAUCCGUGUCAGCCCCAGCCAGAAGACCAUGUACCUCGUCAACCCGUCCGGCGGCGGCGGCUUCGACGAGAAGGGCGAGAAGCGGCUACGGCCGUACGCCCGGAACGACGACUUCCUCCUGCCUGCCGUGGUGGAGGUGACUGUCAAGUCUGUCUCCUCCCCUGAGGCUGCCCCACAGUGCACGAGGCAGCAUCGCGUCCCCGCGGUCGUGUUCUCCGUCGCAGGGUACACGGACAACUUCUUCCACGACAACACGGACGCGCUGAUCCCGUUGUUCCUCACGACGGCGCACCUGAAAGGCGAGGUGCAGCUGCUGAUCACCAACUACAAGCCGUGGUGGGUGCAAAAGUACACGCCGCUGCUGCGCAAGCUCUCCAACUACGACGUGAUCAACUUCGACGCCGACGCCGACGUGCACUGCUUCUCCCGCGGGUACCUCGGCCUGUACCGCGACCGCGACCUCAUCAUCGCCCCUCACCCGACCCGCAACCCGCGCAACUACACCAUGGUGGACUACACGCGCUUCCUCCGAGCCGCGUACGGGCUCCGCCGCGACCAGCCGGCAGUGCUCGGGGCGGAGCCCGGAAUGCAGCCCCGGAUGCUGAUCAUCUCGCGCGCCGGCACGCGCAAGCUGCUGAACCAGGACGAGGUGGCCGCCGCCGCGUCGGAGCUCGGGUUCAACGUGACCGUGGCCGAGGCCGGCGACGACGUGCCGGCGUUCGCGGCCCUGGUGAACUCCGCCGACGUCCUUCUGGCCGUGCACGGUGCCGGGCUGACCAACCAGAUCUUCCUGCCGACCAACGGGGUGGUGCUGCAGAUCGUGCCGUGGGGGAACAUGGACUGGAUGGCGACCAACUUCUACGGGCAGCCGGCGCGGGACAUGCAGCUCCGGUACGUGGAGUACUACAUCGACGAGGAGGAGACGAGCCUCAAGGACAAGUACCCCAGGGAUCACGUGGUGUUCAAGGACCCCAAGGCCCUCCACAAGCAGGGGUGGCAGGCGCUCGCCGACACCAUCAUGAAGCAGGACGUCAAGGUGAACAUGACCAGGUUCCAGCCCUUCUUGCUCCAGGCCAUGGACGAGCUACAGGAGUAGCAGCAUCGUCUCCCCAGCCAGCCCAGGUAAACUCACAUCACAGCCACCAAAAACUGUACAACAAGCAAGCACAACAAGGAGAAAUGCAGACUAAUGUGAUUCUAGGACUAGUUGCUACUACUGCUGCUGCCGGAAAGGGUGAUGAUUUGAAUCUGAUCAAAAGAGGAGGCUUCAAUGUAUAUGGUUGUUUCUGUCAUGUUGAGGAUUCAAGGAACCUGCCCUAGUGGAUCGUCUUGUUGUACAAUUUGUCCUUGCUACUGUAAAUGGAAGGAUCAUCUAUGCUUUCUCCAACACCCGGGAAAAAGCCACUACUUUGUUGCUAAUGUCCUUGUCUCUAUGAAAGAGUAGGAGCAUCGUGUUUGGGAUGUGCGUAGUCAAUUUUGAGAAUCACUGUCGUGUCGAAGGUGGAGAAGUUUGGCUGAAAUUUGGACAGUGGAAGGAAAGAACCAGUGGGAUUGGUGAAAUCUGCACGCUGGAACCAAGUGCGAAUGUGGCGAGAAUGUUGAUGGUUGCUGUUAGCCUGGACUGCUGCGCCUUUUGUUUAUCCUCUAUGGUUAUUUUCAUGUGCGGCUUAACCUUAUCUCAGUAUCGAACAAUUGUUGCUGUUGUUCAACUUUGUGGCUGUUUAAUAUGAGUACCUUCGCAAAAGGCUUGAUGGCUUGUUAUACAUGUGGUUUCUAUGCACAUGUGUUCUAUCACAUUCCAUUACAUGUUGUUAAAAGGGAUGAGAAAAGUGACCACUAUUUUCACUAGGAAAACUGGAAAGAUCUGUAUCCAGUGUUGUCUAUAUCUAGUGUUGUCUAUGUUAUUAAAUACCUAAAUUUGAUGAAAUUGCAC